AUGAUUUUGUUUGAAGAUUUGGAAUUUCGUAGGAUUUUGCUUGCGUUAAUUGUUAUGGUCUAUGAUGCUAUGCUGAGACCUUCUGUAAGCGUUUAACAGGCUUUGCUUUACCUGCUAAACACUUACAGAUUUAUCAAUUUUGUGUUGUUUGAUUUCGUAUUGUUGUUUCAAUGUGAUUUUGACUUCUUAGAAGUUUAUCGUACCUAUUUUGUUUUUUACCGGUUGUUUUGUUUUGUAUUUUUAUGUGGUUGGUGAUGCUCUUAGCUUAUCUUUUUCCAUGACGUUUAAUACUUUAAUGGUUCUUUUUUGUGGCGUAAUUAUGAUUUAUGUGGUAUGUGUGUUUUUAAACCAAACAAUCGUUGCCAAACUGUUAGGUAAUCUUUAAAGGUUGUGAAGAUUCUUUUGUUUUGAUCCUCAAAAUCUAUGUUAUAUAGUGUUAGUUAGUAAGACUUUGGUACAUCACGGAUUGAAUGUUUGCCUUGAUGUUGGUGACUUUCUACUUUGGCUAUGACAAGUGUAACUUUGUUUAUAGUUUAUGAUUAGUUGGUGUGUUUUUUUAUGGUUACAUGAUGCCCUCUUCACGCAUGGACCCUAUUGUUUUACAACAAAUUGAAAAGCUUUUAGAUGAUGUAAUCGAAUCGGAUCCGUUGUUAUCUAAGAUGCUUAAUGACUUAACCGUCAAGGUUUCUAGCAUACGGGACAAAUAAGUGGAGUUGGUGUGACAACCCUCACCAAAUCAGGAAACUAACGGAUCUGGCACGGUAUGCACGUAUUUUCAAGCUGCGUUUGAGUAAAGAAGUCAUCCAGGGUUUAGAAGGCGUAACCUCUUCCUGGACGGGUUACAUACCCCUAAACCUAGUUUUGUUUUAAGGUCUUUGAUAAGUUUUUAUGAAAUCAUUUAAUUCAAGCCAAGGUUUGUAACUUAUUUUGUGAUUGUUGAAAAUGGGAUUUUCUAAACCUUAUUAUUGGAU
Molecule: long non-coding RNA, 971 nt
Filed under: Helianthus annuus (common sunflower)
Lineage: Eukaryota; Viridiplantae; Streptophyta; Magnoliopsida; Asterales; Asteraceae
Description: sRNA HanXRQr2_Chr17g0808871
Source: RNAcentral